UCUAGUGGCGAACGGGUGCGUAACACGUGAGCAAUCUGCCGGGAAGUGGGGGAUAACUCGCCGAAAGGCGAAUUAAUACCGCAUAUGGCCAGGGAAGACAUCUUCCCGAAGCCAAAGUCGCAAGACGCUUCCUGAUGAGCUCGCGGCCUAUCAGCUAGUUGGUGAGGUAACGGCUCACCAAGGCUAUGACGGGUAGCUGGUCUGAGAGGACGACCAGCCACACUGGAACUGAGACACGGUCCAGACACCUACGGGUGGCAGCAGUCGAGAAUUUUUCACAAUGGGGGAAACCCUGAUGGAGCGACGCCGCGUGGAGGAUGAAGGUUUUCGGAUUGUAAACUCCUGUCAAAUGGGAACAAGAAAGUGAUAGUACCAUUAGAGGAAGAGACGGCUAACUCUGUGCCAGCAGCCGCGGUAAUACAGAGGUCUCAAGCGUUGUUCGGAUUCAUUGGGCGUAAAGGGUGCGCAGGCUGUGGGGUAAGUCGGAUGUGAAAUUUAGGGGCUCAACCUCUAAACUGCAUUCGAUACUGCUCCGCUAGAGGUAUGUAGAGGAGAUUGGAAUUCACGGUGUAGCAGUGAAAUGCGUAGAUAUCGUGAGGAAGACCAGUGGCGAAGGCGAAUCUCUGGGCAUUACCUGACGCUCAUGCACGAAGGCCAGGGGAGCAAACGGGAUUAGAUACCCCGGUAGUCCUGGCAGUAAACGGUGCACGUUUGGUGUGGGAGGAUUCGACCCCUUCCGUGCCGGAGCUA
This 750-nucleotide ribosomal RNA is filed under the name uncultured Verrucomicrobium sp. RNAcentral describes it as "bacterial SSU rRNA". It matches the Rfam family "Bacterial small subunit ribosomal RNA", at positions 91 to 854 of the family's 1533-position model. Lineage: Bacteria; Pseudomonadati; Verrucomicrobiota; Verrucomicrobiia; Verrucomicrobiales; Verrucomicrobiaceae. The record is from RNAcentral.